UGCCAGCCGCCGCGGUAAUACGAAGGGGGCUAGCGUUGUUCGGAAUAACUGGGCGUAAAGCGCACGUAGGCGGAUUGUUAAGUUAGGGGUGAAAUCCCAGGGCUCAACCCUGGAACUGCCUCUGAUACUGGUCUUGAGUUCGAGAGAGGUGAGUGGAAUUCCAAGUGUAGAGGUGAAAUUCGUAGAUAUUUGGAGGAACACCAGUGGCGAAGGCGGCUCACUGGCUCGAUACUGACGCUGAGGUACGAAAGUGUGGGGAGCAAACAGGAUUAGAUA
This 276-nucleotide ribosomal RNA is filed under the name uncultured bacterium. RNAcentral describes it as "partial 16S ribosomal RNA". It matches the Rfam family "Bacterial small subunit ribosomal RNA", at positions 506 to 784 of the family's 1533-position model. The record is from RNAcentral.